RNAcentral lists this long non-coding RNA (647 nucleotides) under Phoenix dactylifera (date palm). RNAcentral's name for it is "long non-coding RNA (PDAC_LNC020023)". Lineage: Eukaryota; Viridiplantae; Streptophyta; Magnoliopsida; Arecales; Arecaceae. The record is from RNAcentral.
GACUUUAAUUUAAUUUGAAAUCCUAAUCCAAUUAGGACUCUAAGAAUCCUACUCCAAGUAGAACUCGUAAUUAAGUCCAAUUAAUUAAAUCCAAUUAAUUAAAUUAAAUUGCAAUCCAAUUGCAAUUAUUCCUUCUUCAACUCACUAACUCUUAGCGGGUUAACCAAUUAUCAAUCAAAUUGAUUAUUUGUGAUUCCUAAUCACAAUUCAACCAUCGGAUCGGUCAAUACCUCUUAAUGUGUGUGACCCCAUAGGUUCUAUUGCGAUCUCUAUCACAAUAUCAUUGAAAACUCCUUUCAAUGGGUUGGAACAAUUCCAACUCAACUCACCAGGGACCAUCGAUCAUCAAGAUAGUCCCUGUGAGUCUCACCAUCCACCAGUGACACCUAGCAGCGUGUAGUGGCAACCCAGCAGAAUGGAAUGAUGAACCUCUAGGUGCAGUUAUCAUAUGAUACGGUCCUUCUAUCGUGGAUCCCUACAGAACGGAGGUCAUGGAUAACUCGUCAAACCCCGUCGUCUGUCAAUAUGUUUAGAUUUAUUCGACUUAAGUUCGAGAAUGAAAAACUCCUUUUCCACUGUACAUACUACCCCGGCCGAGGAUUUACGAACUCAGUCUCAUAAAUCACAUAGGAUCUCUCUUAACCUAU